GGUUAAGCGAAUAAGCGUACACGGUGGAUGCCUAGGCAAUCAGAGGCGAUGAAGGACGUGCUAAUCUGCGAAAAGCGUCGGUAAGGUGAUAUGAACCGUUAUACCCGACGAUAUCCGAAUGGGGAAACCCAGUAUCCAAUGGAUACUAUCAUUAACUGAAUCCAUAGGUUAAUGAGGCGAACCGGGAGAACUGAAACAUCUCAGUACCCCGAGGAAAAGAAAUCAACCGAGAUUCCCCUAGUAGCGGCGAGCGAACGGGGAGCAGCCCAGAGUCUUAAUCAAUAGCAGUGUCAGGAGAACGGUCUGGAAAGUCCGGCAGUAAAGGGUGAUAGCCCCGUAUCUGAAGAUGCUGUUAUUGUGAACUCGACGAGUAGGGCGGGACACGUGUUAUCCUGUCUGAAUAUGGGGGGACCAUCCUCCAAGGCUAAAUACUCCUGAUUGACCGAUAGUGAACCAGUACCGUGAGGGAAAGGCGAAAAGAACCCCGGCGAGGGGAGUGAAAAAGAACCUGAAACCGUGUACGUACAAGCAGUAGGAGCCUCUUUAUGGGGUGACUGCGUACCUUUUGUAUAAUGGGUCAGCGACUUAUAUUCUGUAGCAAGGUUAACCGUAUAGGGGAGCCGUAGGGAAACCGAGUCUUAACUGGGCGAAUGAGUUGCAGGGUAUAGACCCGAAACCCGGUGAUCUAUCCAUGGGCAGGUUGAAGGUUGGGUAACACUAACUGGAGGACCGAACCGACUAAUGUUGAAAAAUUAGCGGAUGACUUGUGGAUGGGGGUGAAAGGCCAAUCAAACCGGGAGAUAGCUGGUUCUCCCCGAAAGCUAUUUAGGUAGCGCCUCGUGAACUCAUCUUCGGGGGUAGAGCACUGUUUCGACUAGGGGGUCAUCCCGACUUACCAACUCGAUGCAAACUGCGAAUACCGAAGAAUGUUAUCACGGGAGACACACGGCGGGUGCUAACGUCCGUCGUGAAGAGGGAAACAACCCAGACCGCCAGCUAAGGUCCCAAAGUCAUGGUUAAGUGGGAAACGAAGUGGGAAGGCUCAGACAGCCAGGAUGUUGGCUUAGAAGCAGCCAUCAUUUAAAGAAAGCGUAAUAGCUCACUGGUCGAGUCGGCCCGCGCGGAAGAUGUAACGGGGCUAAACCAUGCACCGAAGCUGCGGCAGCGACACAUAGUGUUGUUGGGUAGGGGAGCGUUCUGUAAGCCUGCGAAGGUGUACUGUGAGGUAUGCUGGAGGUAUCAGAAGUGCGAAUGCUGACAUAAGUAACGAUAAUGCGGGUGAAAAACCCGCACGCCGGAAGACCAAGGGUUCCUGUCCAACGUUAAUCGGGGCAGGGUGAGUCGACCCCUAAGGCGAGGCUGAAAAGCGUAGUCGAUGGGAAACGGGUUAAUAUUCCCGUACUGGUGGUAACUGCGAUGGGGGAACGGAGAAGGCUAGGUUGUCCGGGCGACGGUCGUCCCGGUUCAAGCAGGUAGGCAGAGUGAUUAGGCAAAUCCGGUCACUUAAUGCUGAGAUGUGAUGACGAACCACUAAGGUGGUGAAGCAAUUGAUGCCCCGCUUCCAGGAAAAGCCUCUAAGCUUCAGGUUACCAACAAUCGUACCCCAAACCGACACAGGUGGUCAGGUAGAGAAUACUCAGGCGCUUGAGAGAACUCGGGUGAAGGAACUAGGCAAAAUGGUGCCGUAACUUCGGGAGAAGGCACGCUGGCGGUAGGUAAAGUCCCUCGCGGACGGAGCUGAAGCCAGUCGAAGAUACCAGCUGGCUGCAACUGUUUAUUAAAAACACAGCACUGUGCAAACACGAAAGUGGACGUAUACGGUGUGACGCCUGCCCGGUGCUGGAAGGUUAAUUGAUGGGGUCAGCCGCAAGGCGAAGCUCCUGAUCGAAGCCCCAGUAAACGGCGGCCGUAACUAUAACGGUCCUAAGGUAGCGAAAUUCCUUGUCGGGUAAGUUCCGACCUGCACGAAUGGCGUAAUGAUGGCCAGGCUGUCUCCACCCGAGACUCAGUGAAAUUGAACUCGCUGUGAAGAUGCAGUGUACCCGCGGCAAGACGGAAAGACCCCGUGAACCUUUACUAUAGCUUGACACUGAACAUUGAGCCUUGAUGUGUAGGAUAGGUGGGAGGCUUUGAAGUGUGGACGCCAGUCUGCAUGGAGCCAACCUUGAAAUACCACCCUUUAACGUUUGAUGUUCUAACCUAGGCCCAUAAACUGGGUCGGGGACCGUGUCUGGUGGGUAGUUUGACUGGGGCGGUCUCCUCCUAAAGAGUAACGGAGGAGCACGAAGGUUGGCUAAGCAUGGUCGGACAUCAUGCGGUUAGUGCAAAGGCAUAAGCCAGCUUGACUGCGAGAGUGACGGCUCGAGCAGGUACGAAAGUAGGUCUUAGUGAUCCGGUGGUUCUGAAUGGAAGGGCCAUCGCUCAACGGAUAAAAGGUACUCCGGGGAUAACAGGCUGAUACCGCCCAAGAGUUCAUAUCGACGGCGGUGUUUGGCACCUCGAUGUCGGCUCAUCACAUCCUGGGGCUGAAGUAGGUCCCAAGGGUAUGGCUGUUCGCCAUUUAAAGUGGUACGCGAGCUGGGUUUAGAACGUCGUGAGACAGUUCGGUCCCUAUCUGCCGUGGGCGUUGGAAGAUUGAGAGGGGUUGCUCCUAGUACGAGAGGACCGGAGUGAACGCACCACUGGUGUUCGGGUUGUCAUGCCAAUGGCAUUGCCCGGUAGCUAAGUGCGGAAGAGAUAACCGCUGAAAGCAUCUAAGCGGGAAACUUGCCUCGAGAUGAGUCUUCCCUGUCGCUUUAAGCGACCUAAAGGAACGUUUAAGACUAAGACGUUGAUAGGCUGGGUGUGUAAGCGUAGCGAUACGUUGAGCUAACCAGUACUAAUGAACCGUGAGGCUUAACCUG
This 2903-nucleotide ribosomal RNA is filed under the name Proteus mirabilis. RNAcentral's name for it is "23S ribosomal RNA". It matches the Rfam family "Bacterial large subunit ribosomal RNA". Lineage: Bacteria; Pseudomonadati; Pseudomonadota; Gammaproteobacteria; Enterobacterales; Morganellaceae. The record is from RNAcentral.